GGAGAUGUAACUCAGAGGUAGAGGAUUUGCCUCACAUGCACAAGGUCUUGGGUUCAAUCCCCAGCACUGUGA
This 72-nucleotide transfer RNA is filed under the name Marmota monax (woodchuck). Its description in RNAcentral is "tRNA.Val". The stretch from base 6 to 66 matches the Rfam family "tRNA", at positions 6 to 65 of the family's 71-position model. Rfam says of the family: Transfer RNA (tRNA) molecules are approximately 80 nucleotides in length. Their secondary structure includes four short double-helical elements and three loops (D, anti-codon, and T loops). The record is from RNAcentral. Lineage: Eukaryota; Metazoa; Chordata; Mammalia; Rodentia; Sciuridae.